CAGUAGCCACGGUAAUACAGAGGGUGCAAGCGUUAAUCGGAUUUACUGGGCGUAAAGCGUGCGUAGGCGGCUUCUUAAGUCGGAUGUGAAAUCCCUGAGCUUAACUUAGGAAUUGCAUUCGAUACUGGGAAGCUAGAGUAUGGGAGAGGAUGGUAGAAUUCCAGGUGUAGCGGUGAAAUGCGUAGAGAUCUGGAGGAAUACCGAUGGCGAAGGCAGCCAUCUGGCCUAAUACUGACGCUGAGGUACGAAAGCAUGGGGAGCAAACAGGAUUAGAUACCCGCGUAGUCCCUGUCUCUUAUAC
This 301-nucleotide ribosomal RNA is filed under the name uncultured bacterium. Its description in RNAcentral is "partial 16S ribosomal RNA". It matches the Rfam family "Bacterial small subunit ribosomal RNA", at positions 509 to 807 of the family's 1533-position model. The record is from RNAcentral.